UACGGAGGGUGCGAGCGUUGUCCGGAAUCACUGGGCGUAAAGGGCGCGUAGGUGGCGGAGUAAGCGUGCGGUGAAAGCUCGGGGCUCAACCCCGAGUCGGCCGUGCGAACUGCUCUCGCUCGAGCAUUGUAGAGGCGGGUGGAAUUCCGGGUGUAGCGGUGGAAUGCGUAGAUAUCAGGAGGAACACCGAUUGCGAAGGCAGCUCGCUGGAACGUUACUGACGCUGAGACGCGAAAGCGUGGGGAGCAAACAGG
This 254-nucleotide ribosomal RNA is filed under the name uncultured bacterium. RNAcentral describes it as "partial 16S ribosomal RNA". It matches the Rfam family "Bacterial small subunit ribosomal RNA", at positions 524 to 776 of the family's 1533-position model. The record is from RNAcentral.